CAUGCAAGUCGAACGGAAAGGCCCUUCGGGGUACUCGAGUGGCGAACGGGUGAGUAACACGUGGAUGAUCUGCCCUGCACUUUGGGAUAAGCCUGGGAAACUGGGUCUAAUACCGAAUAGGACCGCAUGCUUCAUGGUGUGUGGUGGAAAGCUUUUGCGGUGUGGGAUGGGCCCGCGGCCUAUCAGCUUGUUGGUGAGGUAAUGGCUUACCAAGGCGACGACGGGUAGCCGGCCUGAGAGGGUGUCCGGCCACACUGGGACUGAGAUACGGCCCAGACUCCUACGGGAGGCAGCGGUGGGGAAUAUUGCACAAUGGGCGCAAGCCUGAUGCAGCGACGCCGCGUGAGGGAUGACGGCCUUCGGGUUGUAAACCUCUUUCAGUAGGGACGAAGCGCAAGUGACGGUACCUGGAGAAGAAGCACCGGCCAACUACGUGCCAGCAGCCGCGGUAAUACGUAGGGUGCGAGCGUUGUCCGGAAUUACCGGGCGUAAAGAGCUCGUAGGUGGUUUGUCGCGUUGUUCGUGAAAACUCACA
RNAcentral lists this ribosomal RNA (535 nucleotides) under uncultured Mycobacterium sp. RNAcentral describes it as "bacterial SSU rRNA". It matches the Rfam family "Bacterial small subunit ribosomal RNA", at positions 54 to 606 of the family's 1533-position model. Lineage: Bacteria; Bacillati; Actinomycetota; Actinomycetes; Mycobacteriales; Mycobacteriaceae. The record is from RNAcentral.